RNAcentral lists this ribosomal RNA (497 nucleotides) under uncultured bacterium. RNAcentral describes it as "partial 16S ribosomal RNA". It matches the Rfam family "Bacterial small subunit ribosomal RNA", at positions 28 to 507 of the family's 1533-position model. The record is from RNAcentral.
GAUGAACGCUGGCGGCGUGCCUAAUACAUGCAAGUCGAGCGAACAGACGAGGAGCUUGCUCCUCUGACGUUAGCGGCGGACGGGUGAGUAACACGUGGAUAACCUACCUAUAAGACUGGGAUAACUUCGGGAAACCGGAGCUAAUACCGGGUAAUAUAUUGAACCGCAUGGUUCAAUAGUGGAAGACGGGUUUGCUGUCCCUUAUAGAUGGAUCCGCGCCGCAUUAGCUAGUUGGUAAGGUAACGGCUUACCAAGGCGACGAUGCGUAGCCGACCUGAAAGGGUGACAGGCCACACUGGAACGUAGACACGGUCCAGACUCUUACGGGAGGCAGCAGGGGGGAAUCUUCCGCAAUGGGCGAAAGCUUGACGGGGCAACGCCGGUUGGGGGAUGAAGGUCUUCGGUUCGUAAAACUUUGUGAGUAGGGAAGAACAAAUGGGUGAGUACAUAUGCACGUCUUGACGGUACCUAAACAGAAAGCCACGGCUAACUCCGUG